UGGAGAAUUGAGGGGGGCUGCUCCUAGUACGAGAGGACCGGAGUGGACGCAUCACUGGUGUUCGGGUUGUCAUGCCAAUGGCACUGCCCGGUAGCUAAAUGCGGAAGAGAUAAGUGCUGAAAGCAUCUAAGCACGAAACUUGCCCCGAGAUGAGUUCUCCCUGAGACUUUAAGUCUCCUGAAGGAACGUUAAAGACGAUGACGUUGAUAGGCCGGGUGUGUAAGCGCAGCGAUGCGUUGAGCUAACCGGUACUAAUGAACCGUGAGGCUUAACCUUAC
This 278-nucleotide ribosomal RNA is filed under the name Klebsiella pneumoniae subsp. pneumoniae KPNIH22. RNAcentral describes it as "partial 23S ribosomal RNA". It matches the Rfam family "Bacterial large subunit ribosomal RNA", at positions 2655 to 2925 of the family's 2925-position model. The record is from RNAcentral. Lineage: Bacteria; Pseudomonadati; Pseudomonadota; Gammaproteobacteria; Enterobacterales; Enterobacteriaceae.